This 237-nucleotide ribosomal RNA is filed under the name uncultured bacterium. RNAcentral's name for it is "partial 16S ribosomal RNA". It matches the Rfam family "Bacterial small subunit ribosomal RNA", at positions 15 to 236 of the family's 1533-position model. The record is from RNAcentral.
GAUCCUGCUCAGGACGAACGCUGGCGGCGUGCUUAACACAUGCAAGUCGAACGAGAAUCUACUGAAAGAGUUUUCGGACAAUGGAAGUAGAGGAAAGUGGCGGACGGGUGAGUAACGCGUGAGGAACCUGCCUUGAAGAGGGGGACAACAGUUGGAAACGACUGCUAAUACCGCAUGAUGCAUAAGGGUCGCAUGAUUCUUAUGCCAAAGAUUUAUCGCUUCAAGAUGGCCUCGCGU